RNAcentral lists this transfer RNA (64 nucleotides) under Indonemoura jacobsoni. RNAcentral describes it as "tRNA-Arg". Lineage: Eukaryota; Metazoa; Arthropoda; Insecta; Plecoptera; Nemouridae. The record is from RNAcentral.
GAACAAGAAGCGAUUAAUUGCAGUCAGUUUCGACCUGGCCUUAGGUAGACUAUACCCUUGCUCU